Molecule: ribosomal RNA, 496 nt
Filed under: Trichopsis vittata (croaking gourami)
Lineage: Eukaryota; Metazoa; Chordata; Actinopteri; Anabantiformes; Osphronemidae
Description: partial 12S ribosomal RNA
Rfam family: Bacterial small subunit ribosomal RNA
Source: RNAcentral
UAAACAAUGAUAAACCUUUACACUUAUUAUCCGCCCGGGUACUACGAGCAUUAGCUUAAAACCCAAAGGACUUGGCGGUGCUUAAGAUCCACCUAGAGGAGCCUGUUCUAGAACCGAUAAUCCCCGUUCAACCUCACCCUUUCUUGUUUAUUCAGCCUAUAUACCGCCGUCGUCAGCUUACCCUGUGAAGGAAUCACAGUAAGCAAAAUUGGCACAGCCUAAAACGUCAGGUCGAGGUGUAGCAUAUGAAAGGGGAAGAAAUGGGCUACAUUCUCUAAUAUAGAGAAUACGAAUAAUGUAUUGAAACAUGCAUUUAAAGGAGGAUUUAGUAGUAAGAAGAAACUAGAGUGCUCUACUGAAACUGGCCCUAAAGCGCGUACACACCGCCCGUCACUCUCCCCAAGCUAUAAAAUUUACCUUUCUUAAAACCAUUAAACUGUAAAGGGGAGGCAAGUCGUAACAUGGUAAGUGUACGGAAGGUGUACCUUGGAAAAAU